Molecule: ribosomal RNA, 648 nt
Filed under: Lucanus parryi
Lineage: Eukaryota; Metazoa; Arthropoda; Insecta; Coleoptera; Lucanidae
Description: partial large subunit ribosomal RNA
Rfam family: Eukaryotic large subunit ribosomal RNA
Source: RNAcentral
ACGGACCAAGGAGUCUAGCAUGUGCGCGAGUCAUUGGGAUGUAACUAAACCUAAAGGCGAAAUGAAAGUGAAGGUCCGCCUCGCGCGGACCCAGGGAGGAUGGGCCCGCCCACGGGGGGCCCCGCACUCCCGGGGCGUCUCGUUCUCAUCGCGAGAGGAGGCGCACCCAGAGCGUACACGCUGGGACCCGAAAGAUGGUGAACUAUGCCUGGUCAGGACGAAGUCAGGGGAAACCCUGAUGGAGGUCCGUAGCGAUUCUGACGUGCAAAUCGAUCGUCGGAACUGGGUAUAGGGGCGAAAGACUAAUCGAACCAUCUAGUAGCUGGUUCCCUCCGAAGUUUCCCUCAGGAUAGCUGGCGCUCGCCGCGCGCGAGUCUCAUCCGGUAAAGCGAAUGAUUAGAGGCAUUGGGGUCGAAACGGCCUCAACCUAUUCUCAAACUUUAAAUGGGUGAGAUCUCCGGCUUGCUCGAACACGUGAAGCCGCGAGAUUUCGGAUCAGAGUGCCAAGUGGGCCACUUUUGGUAAGCAGAACUGGCGCUGUGGGAUGAACCAAACGCAGAGUUAAAGCGCCCAAAUCGACGCUUAUGGGAUACCAUGAAAGGCGUUGGUAACUUAAGACAGCAGGACGGUGGCCAUGGAAGUCGGAAU